CAAUCGAACCCGGAGAUAGCUGGUUCUCCUCGAAAUAGCUUUAGGGCUAGCCUCGCAUUAGUUUACCGGAGGUAGAGCACUGAAUGGUCUAGGGGGCCUCACCGCCUACCGAAACCUAUCAAACUGCGAAUGCCGGAUAAAUGAUGUGCGGGAGUCAGGCCGCGAGAGAUAAGUUCCGCGGUCAAAAGGGGAACACCCCAGAUCGUCUGCUAAGGUCCCCAAGUACGCGUUAAGUGGGAAAGGAUGUUGGAUUGCACAGACAACCAGGAUGUUGGCUUAGAAGCAGCCACACAUUCAAAGAGUGCGUAAUAGCUCACUGGUCGAGUGAUCCAGCGCCGAAAAUGUAACGGGGCUAAAACGCGACACCGAAGCAGCGGGAUGCGUAAGCAUCGGUAGAGGAGCAUUGUGUGAGGAUAGAAGCCAGAGCGGGAGCACUGGUGGACUUCACAGAAGAGAGAAUGCCGGUAUGAGUAGCGAGACCCAUGCGAGAAACAUGGGCGUCGAAGGCCCAAGGUUUCCUGGGGAAGGUUCAUCCACCCAGGGUAAGUCGGGACCUAAGCCGAGGACUGAGGUCGUAGGCGAUGGACAGCAGGUAGAGAUUCCUGCACCACUUACACUUGUUUGACGAAGCAGUGACACAGAAGGAUAGGACGAGCGCGGUGAUGGUCAACCGCGUAGGCGGCACGAGGCUGAGAAGCAGUAAAGUACACUUCUCAUGAAGGCUGAGUGCUGACAGGACCGAAAAAGAGUAGGGAAGCGUCUGAGUUCACGCUGGCGAGAAAAGCUGCUAAGGAGAGUGUGAGUGCCCGUACCGGAAACCGACGCAGGUGGGCGAGGAGAGAAUCCUGAGACGAACGGGAGAACCCUUGUUAAGGAACUCGGCAAAAUGACCCCGUAACUUCGGGAGAAGGGGUGCCUCGAAAGAGGCCGCAGAGAAUAGUCACAAGCGACUGUUUAGCAAAAACACAGGUAUCUGCGAAAGCGAGAGCUGACGUAUAGGUGCUGACGCCUGCCCGGUGCUGGAAGGUUAAGGGGAAGUGUUAGGGGAAACCCGAAGCAGAGAACCGAAGCCCCAGUAAACGGCGGCCGUAACUAUAACGGUCCUAAGGUAGCGAAAUUCCUUGUCGGGUAAGUUCCGACCCGCACGAAUGGUGUAACGACUUGUGAGCUGUCUCAACAGGGGGCCCGGUGAAAUUGAAGUAUGGGUGAAGAUGCCCAUUACCCGCGACUGGACGGAAAGACCCCGUAGAGCUUUACUGUAGCCUGAUAUUGGAUUUCGGUAACGGAUGUACAGGAUAGGUGGGAGGCUAGGAAACCAGGACGUCAGUCUUGGCGGAGCCGGCGGUGGGAUACCACUCUUUUGUUACUGAAACUCUAACAUGGACCCGUGAAACCGGGUAAUGGACAGUGUCAGGUGGACAGUUUGACUGGGGCGGUCGCCUCCGAAAGAGUAACGGAGGCGCCCAAAGGUACCCUCAGAAUGGAUGGAAACCAUUCGCAGAGUGCAAAGGCAGAAGGGUGCCUGACUGCGAGAGUGACAAUUCGAGCAGAGACGAAAGUCGGGCUUAAUGAUCCGGCGGUAUUGAGUGGAAAAGCCGUCGCUUAACGGAUAAAAGCUACCUCGGGGAUAACAGGCUGAUCUCCCCCAAGAGUCCACAUCGACGGGGAGGUUUGGCAC
Molecule: ribosomal RNA, 1678 nt
Filed under: human gut metagenome
Description: bacterial LSU rRNA
Rfam family: Bacterial large subunit ribosomal RNA
Source: RNAcentral